UCGAGAAUCUUCGGCAAUGGGCGAAAGCCUGACCGAGCAAUGCCGCGUGCGGGAUGAAGGCCCUCGGGUUGUAAACCGCGAAAGUGAGGAGGAAGGGCCCGUGCAGAGCGGGUCUUGACCGAUCCACAGUAAGGACGGGCUAAGUUCGUGCCAGCAGCCGCGGUAACACGAACCGUCCAAACGUUAUUCGGAAUCAUUGGGCUUAAAGGGUGCGUAGGCGGCGCGUUAAGUCGGGUGUGAAAUCCUUCGGCUCAACCGAAGAAUUGCGCCCGAUACUGGCGUGCUAGAGGGAGACAGGGGUGAGCGGAACUGAUGGUGGAGCGGUGAAAUGCGUUGAUAUCAUCAGGAACACCGGUGGCGAAAGCGGCUCACUGGGUCUCUUCUGACGCUGAGGCACGAAAGCCAGGGUAGCGAACGGGAUUAGAUACCCCCGUAGUCC
Molecule: ribosomal RNA, 439 nt
Filed under: uncultured prokaryote
Description: bacterial SSU rRNA
Rfam family: Bacterial small subunit ribosomal RNA
Source: RNAcentral